UAAUACGGAGGGUGCGAGCGUUAUUCGGAAUUAUUGGGCGUAAAGAGCGCGUAGGCGGCCUGUCAAGUCAGGUGUGAAAUCCCGGGGCUCAACCCCGGAAGUGCAUUUGAUACUGUAGGGCUUGAGUAUGGGAGAGGGAAGUGGAAUUCCUGGUGUAGCGGUGAAAUGCGUAGAUAUCAGGAGGAACACCGGUGGCGAAGGCGGCUUCCUGGACCAAUACUGACGCUGAGGCGCGAAGGCGUGGGGAGCAAACAGGAUUAGAUACCCUGGUAGUCCACGCAGUAAACGGUGAUCACUAGGUGUAGCGGGUAUUGACCCCUGCUGUGCCGGAGUUAACGCAUUAAGUGAUCCGCCUGGGGAGUACGAUCGCAAGAUUAAAACUCAAAGGAAUUGACGG
Molecule: ribosomal RNA, 397 nt
Filed under: uncultured bacterium
Lineage: Bacteria
Description: bacterial SSU rRNA
Rfam family: Bacterial small subunit ribosomal RNA
Source: RNAcentral